Molecule: long non-coding RNA, 509 nt
Filed under: Homo sapiens (human)
Lineage: Eukaryota; Metazoa; Chordata; Mammalia; Primates; Hominidae
Description: non-protein coding LINC02532:41
Source: RNAcentral
GGGUACUACAGUGGAUGUGAGUGUGUAGACCUUGUACAAUAGAGCUUAUAGGCUAAUGAGAAGACAGGAAGAAACAACAGGAACACAUAUAGCUGGAAUGCAGAUGGGAUCUGUGCUACUUACGCUAGCCAUGGGAUGAUUAGAACAAGAUAAGAGACAUGAGGAAGACUUCUUCAAGGAGGUGCUCAAGCCAUGUUUUGGAAAAGAGAACUCAAGGUCUGGCAGGGAGAAAGGAGCAAGACUGCCUGGCAGCUCUUUAGAAAGUUGUGUGACGUAUGAACCAGUUCUUCCCUAUAUGAGAGUGUACCGUACAUCGCAGGCUGUCCAGCAUCGACCCCACUGAUGGAUGCUAGUAGUCCUCCCCGCCAGCACUCAACAUUGUGACAGUCAAAAACAUCCUCUCUACAUUUUCAAUGCCCCUGUUGGGGUAGCAGGACUCCCACUGAGAGACCCCAGUAGAGAUGGUAAGUGGAGGCAGAGCAGCACCUCUCACACUUCCAUGUGCCCUU